Molecule: long non-coding RNA, 9047 nt
Filed under: Gossypium barbadense (sea-island cotton)
Lineage: Eukaryota; Viridiplantae; Streptophyta; Magnoliopsida; Malvales; Malvaceae
Description: long non-coding RNA (GBAR_LNC015978)
Source: RNAcentral
CCAAAUUCGAUAAAGCUAUCUUUUGUAGUGCCUACAAAUGCACUCUCGAGCGCCAUACACCUGAAGGUGCUCAAAUUCUCAGGAUGUUAAUCAAGUUCAAACAAUGAUUAAACUUGAUUCUUGUUACCACCUUGGUCAUCAUAUCUGCGGGAUUAUCUGCUGUUGGAAUCUUCUGAAGUAGAAUUUUUCCUUUUUCAAAGACUUCCCGCACAAAGUGAUAUCUUACGUCUAUAUGUUUGGUUCUUGAAUGAUAGACUUGAUUUUUCGCUAAAUGAAUAGCGCUCUAACUGUCACAAUAUAAACUUAUGUGACUUUGAACAACUCCUAAGUCUUUCAACAAUCCAUUAAGCCAAAUAGCCUCCUUAACAGCUUCUGUAACUGCCAUAUAUUCUGCCUCUGUAGUAGACACAGCUACUGUAGACUGUAAGGUAGACUUCCAACUCACUGGGGCUUUCGCAAGAGUAAACAGAUACCCCGUAGUUGAACGACGUUUAUCUAAAUCACCAACAAAGUCGGAAUCAACAUAUCCAACUACAAACUGACCAAGUGCUUCAUCCUGUUCAAAAAUUAAACCAACAUCUACGGUUUUUCGAAGAUACCGUAGAAUCCAUUUCACAGCUUGCCAAUGUCCUUUUCCAGGAUCAUGCAUAUACCUGCUCACAACUCCAACAACUUGUGAAAUGUCAGGCCGCGUACACACCAUCGCAUACAUCAAACUCCCAACUGCAUUAGCAUAUGGGACUUUUGCCAUAUAUUCUCUUUCUUCUUCAAUUUUCGGAGAUAAUUGAGCACUAAGUUUCAAAUGAGAAGCAAGUGGGGUACUUACAUGUUUUGUGUUUUCAUUUACACCAAAACAUUGUAAUACCUUUUUCAGAUAUUGCUUCUGAUUCAAACAAAGCUUGCCUCUCUGUCUAUCUCUACUUAUCUCCAUGCCGAGAAUUUUCUUGGCAUCACCUAGAUCUUUCAUUUCGAACUCUUGAUUCAACUGAGCCUUCAGCUUAUCUAUCUCUUUUUGGCUCUUCGAAGCGAUUAACAUAUCAUCAACAUACAAGAGUAGAUAAAUGAAAGAUCCGUCAUGCAGCUUCUGCAAAUACACACAAUUGUCAUAUUUGCUUCUUGUGUACUUCUGCCUUCUCAUAAAGCUAUCAAAUCGCUUGUACCACUGCCUCGGGGAUUGCUUCAAUCCAUAUAGCGAUUUGUUCAGCUUACAAACUCAAUUUCUACCACCAGCAUUUGUGUAUCCUUCGGGCUGAGUCAUAUAGAUCUCCUCUUCUAACUCACCAUGCAAGAAAGCCAUCUUAACAUCAAGUUGAGCUAGCUCCAAAUUCAACUGUGCUACCAAGGCCAACAAAAUUCUAAUGGAGGAAUGCUUCACAACAGGGGAAAAUACAUCAUUGUAGUCAAUUCCCUCCUUCUGAGCGUAGCCUUUAGCUACCAAUCUUGCCUUGUAGCGAAUAUCCUUCUUGCUAGGAGAUCCAUCUUUCUUUGCGAAUACCCACUUGCAUCCGAUUGCCCUUUUACCUUUCGGUAAUUGCGCAAACUCCCAAGUAUUGUUCUUCCGGAGAGACUGCAUUUCUUCAUCCAUGGCGCUUUUCCAUUUAUCACUUUUUAAGCUUUGCAUUGCUUUUUGAUAAGUGAUAGGAAUAUCAUCAACAACAGGAAGGGCGUAGGCCACCAUAUCAGUAAAUCGAAUAGGUUUACGAAUUUCUCUCCGUGGCCUUGCAACUGCAACUGGUUCUGGUGUACUUAGUGGUUCUUGGGUCAGAACCUCUUCAACCUCUAAUUCCUCUAUUGUGGCUGGAGAAUUAGACUUAUUAACUGGGCAAAUCCCCAUCUGCUCAAACUCCACCUGUUUUGGAGUACACUCCACCUGCUGUGGAGUAUUGCUCGUCUGAAUAUCUUUAUCUGCUACCUUUUUCAAUGUGGCAGAUUCAUCAAAGGUAACAUCUCUGCUACAGAUCAUUUUCUUUGUGCUUAAGCACCAAAGACGAAAUCCCUUCACUCCAGAAGUGAUUCCCAUAAAGAGAGCUUUCUUUGCCCUCGGAUCUAACUUUGACUCCUUCACAUGGUAAUAUGCAGUGGUUUCAAACACAUGUAAGGAAUCAUAAUCUGUAGCCGGUUUUCCAGACCAUACCUCCAUAGGAGUUUUUCUUUCUAAUACAGAUGAUGGCAAACGAUUAACAAGAUGGCCAGCGUAUGUCACAGCCUCAGCCCAAAAUUGCUUGCCCAACCCAGCAUUGGACAACAUACAUCGAACUUUCCCCAGCAAUGUUCGAUUCAUACGCUCUGCCAAUCCAUUCUGCUGUGGUGUAUCCCUAACUGUGAAGUGUCGAACAAUACCAUACUCUUGGCACACAUCGAAGAACGGAUCACUUUUAUAUUCCCCUCCAUUGUCCGUCCUAAGCCGCUUGAUUUUCUUGCCAGUCUGGUUUCCGAUCAUAGUUUUCCAUUUAAGAAAAACUCUAAGCACUUCAUCCUUAGUUCUCAUGGUAUACACCCAAACUCUUCUGGAAAAGUCAUCAACAAAAGUAACAAAGUAGUGUUUUCCUCCCAAUGAAGGUGUCUUGGAAGGCCCCCACACAUCUGAGUGAACAUAUUCCAAAAUACCUUUUGUAUUAUGGAUAGCAGUACCGAAUUUCACUCUCUUUUGCUUUCCCAGAACACAAUGCUCGCAAAAUUUUAAUUUGCAAGCCUUUGCACCUUUCAACAAUCCUUACUUUGCCAGAAUUUGCAAGGAUUUUUCGCUGGCAUGUCCCAACUUCAUAUGCCACAACUGCAUUGAGUCCAAUUCUUUGUUACCGGAAGCUAUAGCGACUGCUCCAAUAACUGUACUACCUUGGUAGUAAUACAAGUUAUUUUUCCUGAUGCCCUUCAAUAUCACAAGUGCGCCAGAUGUCACUUUCAAAAUCCCAUCUCUCAUAGUAACAACUGAACCAUUGGAUUCCAGGGCUCCCAAUGAGAUGAGAUUUUUCUUCAAACUGGGCACGUACCGAACAUCAGUCAGAACUCUGGUUGAUCCAUCUUGAUUCUUUAAUUGGAUUGAACCUAUCCCAACAGUUUUACAGGCAUUGUCAUUGCCCAUAUAAACAACUCCUCCAUUUAGUUCUACUAAAUUAGAGAACCACUCCCGGUUAGGGGACAUAUGAUAGGUACAACCCGAAUCCAAUAUCCACUCAUCUGAAUGGAACGACGAUGAUGAUGCAACCAGUGAUAGUUCAGAGUCACUGGUAUCAUGCUUUGCAACACAAGCAUCUACAGCAGCUUUUCCCUUAUUCUUCAGCUUUGGACAAUUUUUCUUCUAGUGGCCUUUCUCAUGACAAAAAGCACAUUCAUCUUUCCCGAGUCUGGACUUUGACUUUGAUCUCCCCUUUUGAGUUUUCUUCCGAGUGUAUGAACGACCUCGGACUACUAAAGCUUCUGUAUCUCUGAUUGAGUUUUUCUGUUUGUCCUUCUUUCUCUGUUCAUAACUGUAUAAGGCCGCACAGACUUCGCUCAGAGAUAUAUCACUCCUGCCAUGAAGUAGAGUAGUUUCUAGGAACUCAAACUCCUCAGGAAGUGACCCCAACAGCAUCAAAGCCAAAUCUUCAUCUUUGAAUGUCUCAUCCAUAUUCAGUAAAUCAGUGACUAACUGAUUAAAUUUGGUGAUGUGAUCAUUCAUUGUGGUACUUGGGACGUAAGUGAAGCGAAACAGUCUUUUCUUCAAGUGGAGCUUAUUUUGACUGUUUUUCUUCAAAAAUUUUUCUUCAAUUGCCACCCACAACUUAUUUGCAGAAGUCUCCUUUGAAAAAGCAUACCUCUGCUCUCGAGAAAGGCAUGAUCGAAUUGUGCCACAUGCCAACCGAUUGAUCGCCUUCCAAUCUUUCUCCUGUACAUCAUCUGGUUUCUCUUCAUCAAUGGCAAUGUCUACACCCUGCUGAAAAAGGGCAUCUAGAACCUCACUUUGCCACAUACCAAAAUGGCCCGUGCCAUCAAAGAUCUCCACGGCCAAUCUUGCAUUUGCAAUUGUCGGUCUUGUCCACAUGGACGAUGUUGAAGCUCCUACACCGACCGUUUUCUCCAUAAUCUUUCAAUAUACCUAAGAAAAUCUUUUCUGAUGUGGAAGAUCAGUUUAAACUGCAACCACAGAGCAUACUACGAUUAACCUUCGGCUCUUGAUACCACUUGUUGUUCCAAUAGGGUCGGAAGCGUGUAAAUUAUUGUACUAAAAAUCACACAAAGUUCAAUUCCCAGGGAAGAGAGGUGGAUCACAUGGAUCUCUUAAAUACCAAGUCUUUCCUUAGACAGAAUAUCCCUUCUAUAGUAAUUUAAUAGAACAAUUAAAUACUACUAUUAUACCCUCAAAUAUUGAAAGAAAAAUAGGAUAAGAAAGAACACAAGAGAUUUAACGAGGUUCGGUAAAUUAUACUUACGUCCUCGGGCACUAACACCAGAUGAUAACUUUACUAUCUCCAAAGUAUUACAAACAAAUAGAAUUCCUUAAGAAUUCUCAAAUGGGAGAAGAGAGAAAACUAAGAGAGAAAGAUUGGUUGGGAUGAAUUGAAAUGAGAAAUGAGAAGGCCUAUUUAUAGUUGAGGUUUAAGGACCAAACAAUAAAUAGCCCAUUAUCUCAAGGACCAAAAAAAAAAUAUCCUAUGCCACUUUUUCAAAGUCAACUUUAGGGUGCUAAACUUGCACCACUUUGUAUUGUUUGCCAUUAAUGUUGUCUACCAUUAAUGUUAACAGCUGGAUCUUUCAUUUGGUUUCUCAUCUGUUCUUGUAAAUCAGCAGUUGAUGUAGGCAAAUUCGACUGAGAACAUUGGAUUCGGAAAACGACUAGAAGAACUGGUUUCACCAAAACCAUUAUUCCCAUUGGAGACAGAUGCCGUCUGAAAUUCUGGAUAUUUUACCUCAGCAUCUGAAUCCAGUCUGCUACUCUUUACAGCUGUUGAUGUGGAAAUAGAGUCAUUCCCUUCCAAAGAGGCUGCUGCUUCAAACAUUUUCUGAAGCUCCUCUGGAGGCAUCUUGGUCAUCAUAUCAGUUGCAGAUUUAAGCAUGUCAGGUGUUACAUUGGGAUGAACUGAUCCAGGUCCAAAUCCAAUUGAACCAUUUUUUGUAGCUGUUCAGGUGACAUUUUACCGAUCAUAUUUGUAGCAGUCUUAAACAAGUCUGGUGACACCUCUCCAACUUUACCGCCACUCAAAGCAGAAAGGGUAUAAGGAUCUGCAUUAGAAAUGAAUUUCUGAAACGAUCUGCUAAUACAAGGGGAAACGGGAGAAUUGUCAAUUUUGGGACCUACUAAAUUAAUAAUAGAGCACAAAAAAUUGAUUCAGCACAGACCACAAACUUUUAGUUCUACAAGUUCUACUUCUAGCAACAGUAACCUUUUUAAGUUCAUAAUCUCAUUAUCCACCAUGGACAUGCAUCAAAGCGAAUUGUAAUUAUUUGCAUACUAUAAGGUGAUAAUAUAAAUUAAUGCCGCUAAGAUUUAAAGCUAAAACAACGAGAAAUAAAGAGAGCAGAAACCGUAAAGGAUCUUCAAGUAUCAAAGUUCACAUCAUUUUUUAUAUAUUCGACAGCAUAGAUGACAUAAUAUGGCAUUACCAGAUUAAGUAAUUGACCACCAAACAAACAAUUGUCAAAAUCAUAACAAACCGAAGGGCUUCUGGAUCAUUUUUUAGAGCCUCCAGGCACACAGAAUUGGCUGUCAAUGUCCCAAACGUUUUUCCCACUCUCAUUCUUUAGAUAAUCCAGUACUUUCUCGUGGUUGUUUCGAUGAAUACUUGGUAAAUGAAGUUUGGCGAUUAGCUGAAGAGGUGCUUGCAGCUUCUUCAGUUAUUUCUUCAAUUGCCACACCUGUGAAAUAACGAGCAAAUAGAAGUGUAAGCAUUAAAGACACAGACACAGACACAGACACAUACAUAUACAUAUUAUAUAUAUGUGAGAGAGAGAAUAUCCAUAAGAAAAUGCAAAAUAUAGGAUGUUAAAUUUACCUUGAGGUGCCUGAUGACUGCCUUCUCUAGCCAAUCUUUCCUCAGCAUCCCUACAUUAACAAUUGACAUCACUAACUACCACGGCGCAUUCAAACAAAAAGUGACUUAUCAGCAAUUUUAUGAAUAAUGGUUAAUAACUAAACUACAUACCAUAAAAGAAAAGAGAAAAAUAAACGACAAUUACAAAAUGCACCUAACGUGUCCCAGCCAAUAAUAAUCAUGACAUGUGUUGGUGCAUAACUACUUCAAAGGUGAAUGCACCUGACUACAACUUAUCCCGUGUUUCCACAAUCUUAACUCAAAUAAAUCAUACCUCAAUACAUCAGCAACUGUUUCAUCACCAGGGUAAACUUCAUGUGCCUUGCUCAAAUCCGAGAUGGCAUCCUAAUAAAUUGCAGAAAGUUAUAAAGCAAACACAUGUGCAGAUUAUUCCAGAAUUUGAAAAUGCAUGCUUGACCUAUAUGCAUAUAAAACCCACUUCUAGUUGGCCCAGUUCUUUGUAUGCUUGACCUCUUCGGUAAAGAGCUUUGACAUUCUUUCCAUCAUCUGACAAAACCAGAAAUAAAAAUUGGUAAGUUCAGCUAGAUAGAAGAUGGAAGACGCAAACUAUUAUAUACUAAAUAUACAAAGAACAUCUAUCUGUUUAUUUAAUUAGUAGCCUAGUCUAGUGACAUUAAAGAGUGUUUUUUUUUCAUAUUAUAUUGGGAUGAGGAUAAUAACUUGAGAAUAUAAUUUAUGAUAAAACCUAUAGUACUGUACCAUGAAAAUAAAGGAAAAACUGGAAUCUUCGUACCUCAGAGCCUUCUUUCAUACAUUCAUCAUAUUGCCUUGUUUUCAAGUAUCAGGACAUCAGAUUAAGAGAGCAUGCCAAUAAAAGUGUUCUUCCAUGGGAGGAAGGAAUUCCUUUAAGGUUUUUCUUUGCCUAAUAUUGUGGAAGAGGAAAUGAAGAUUUUAAUUAAUGACAAUAAAAUACAAAUAAGCUGAGAUAAAUUUUAAGAAAAAAAUGAAAUAUAAAUCGCUGGCUUACAAGCAAAUAUUUCUCAGAGGCAUCAUCAAACCUCCCCUGCUUAUGAAGCUCAUUCCCCUAGAAAACAUAUAGAUAUACUCGCAUGUCUGAUGCUAGUUAAUAAGAGAAAAGAGUAAAUAAACCAGAAAUAUGACAGGGUGAACCAUAAAUUAAAGUUAUAAGACAUUGUUUCCGUUCUUCUGUUAUUUGAAAAUAAUUCCAUGGUGAAAAAGUCUUUUCAAGAUUCAAUGUGUAAAGUUAGUAAUAAUAAUACCAUUAGUUUUUGGAAACUGAUUAACAGAACGAAAGCCAUGCACUCAAGCAGCAAUUGAGGAAAUCAUAUUUUAUUCGAUCACAAGUUGCACCCCUAGCACUGAAUUGCCUCCACAUUUGAGUCAUAAUUGAAUAGUAUCCAUACACAAAUGAUGUCUGGUUUCUUCACAUACACCUCACAUUCAUAUAUUUGACUAACAUAUUUAAGUUAUGCAAAUGCAACCCAAUGAUCAUGUAAACCCGACAGUAUGAUAUUAUCUCAUCAAAGGUUUUACAAUGUAUCCAGUUCUGUAAAACUUCUAAAAGAAAGAGUAUCGCAACUUCUUUCAGCAUCAAGGCUCCUACUGCGUUCUCUCUUUGUUUAAGAAUGUGGAGAAAAAAUCUCUUUCAUGAUGGACAUAUAUUUUAUCUGAGCGAUUGAAAAUCAACAGCAAUGAUGUGAUUUUAGAUGGUAAUAAAACACCUGGUUCUUCAACAUCUGAGCUGCACUUAAUUCAUAACUGAUCUGAGCAACAGCAUGGGUACGCAUGGGAGCUAUCUCUUCAGGCAAUGCUUAGUCAUUUUCUCACCAAUUUCCGCCAUCUCCUCUGGUCGAGUGUGCUUUAACUGUUCUGCAGCAAGUCUCAUGGUCUUCAUGCUUUCUGAGGCCAUUCUCAUCAGAUUAGGAUUAGACAUCAUCUGCAUUGCGCCAACGCCAUUAAAUCCACAAUAAAACAACUACUAAUGUUUGUUGUUCCAAUAGGGUCGGAAGCGUGUAAAUUAUUGUACUAAAAAAUCACACAAAGUUCAAUUCCCAGGGAAGAGAGGUGGAUCACAAGGAUCUCUUAAAUACCAAGUCUUUCCUUAGUCAGAAUAUUCCUUCUAACGUAAUUUAAUAGCACAAUUAAAUACUACUAUUAUACCCUCAAAUAUUGAAAGAAAAAUAGGACAAAAAGAACAUAAGAGUUUUAACGAGGUUCGGUAAAUUAUACCUACGUCCUCGGGCACUAACACCAGAUGAUAACUUUACUAUCUCCAAAAUAUUACAAACAAAUAGAAUUCCUUAAGAAUUCUCAAAUGGGAGAAGAGAGAAAACUAAGAGAGAAAGAUUGGUUGGGAUGGUGUAAAUGAGAAAUGGUUAGGCUUAUUUAUAGUUGAGGUUCAGGGACUAACUUGCAAAUGGCCUAAAAAAUUAGGGACCAAAAUUGUAAUUAUCCCAUUCAACUUUAAACAACUUGCCUACCAUUUUUUUUCUUUCGGUGCCACUUGCACCUCCCAUUUUUUUGACUUUUCAACACCCCUUUUAAUUUGUCUUUUCAACAAUCUCCACCUUGAAGAUUUGAUUAGGAUAAUCACAUCUUCACAUACUUCCUUCAACUCCCCAAAUUCGAUAAAGUUAUCUUUUGUAGUGCCUCCAAAUGCGCUCUCGAGCGCCAUGCACCUAAAGGUGCUCAAAUUCUCAGGAUGUUAAUCAAGUUCAAACAAUGAUUAAACUUGAUUGUUGUUACCACAUUGGUCAUCAUAUCUGCGGGAUUAUCUGCUGUCGGAAUCUUCUGAAGUAGAAUUUUUCCUUUUUCAAAGACUUCCCGCACAAAGUGAUAUCUUACGUCGAUAUGCUUGGUUCUUGAAUGAUAGACUUGAUUUUUCGCUAAAUGAAUAGCGCUCUGACUGUCACAAUAUAAACUUAUGUGACUUUGAACAACUCCUAAAUCUUUCAACAAUCCAUUAAGCCAAAUAGCCUCCUUAACAGCUUCUGUAACUGCCAUAUAUUCUGCCUCUGUAGUAGACACAGCUACUGUAGACUGUAAGGUAGACUUCCA